Molecule: transfer RNA, 59 nt
Filed under: Piliocolobus gordonorum (Uzungwa red colobus)
Lineage: Eukaryota; Metazoa; Chordata; Mammalia; Primates; Cercopithecidae
Description: tRNA-Ser
Source: RNAcentral
GAGAAAGCUUGCAAGGGCUGCUAAUCCAUGCUUCCGUAUAUAACAAGACGGCUCUCUCA